AUGACUGAUGCAUAUGAAUACUUGAAAGUUGGCACAAACGUCUUUCUCAACAGCUACAAGUUGGGAAUGAAUCAGUUUGGUGACAUGACAACUGAGGAGUUCAGACAGCUGAUGAAUGGCUAUAUACACAAGAAGUCAGAAAGGAAGUACAGAGGAUCCCAGUUUCUUGAGCCCAGCUUCCUGGAAGCGCCACGAUCAGCAGACUGGAGACAGAAGGGAUAUGUAACUCUAGUUAAAGACCAGGGUCAGCGUGGCUCUUGCUGGGCUUUCAGCACAACAGGAGCUCUUGAAGGGCAGCACUUCAGCAAAACUGGCAAACUUGUGUCGCUGAGUGAACAGAAUCUGGUGGACUGCUCUCACCCUGAAGGGAAUCAAAGCUGCAACGGUGGUCUCAUGGACCAGGCUUUCCAGUAUGUGCAGGGUAAUGGGGGAAUAGAUGAAGACUGUCACUACAAGGCAGAGUACAAUGCUGCUAAUGACACUGGCUUUGUUGACAUCCCUCAAGGACAUGAAAGAACUCUCAUGAAAGCAGUAGCAGCUGUGGGUCCAGUGUCUGUUGCUAUUGAUGCAGGCCACUCUUCAUUCCAGUUCUAUCAGUCAGGUAUCUACUAUGAACCAGACUGCAGCAGUGAAGACCUGGACCAUGGUGUUCUGCUUGUAGGUUAUGGCUUUGAGGGGGAAGAUGUAGAUGGGAAGAAAUACUGGAUUGUUAAGAACAGCUGGGGUGAGAAUUGGGGUGACAAAGGAUAUAUCUACAUGGCCAAGGACAGGAAGAACCACUGUGGAAUAGCAACAGCUGCUAGCUAUCCACUUGUAUAAUUUGAAGACUGAACAUUUCAGUGCAAGAGGGGAUUUAAACUGAAUGACCAAACCCAUGUUCACACAUGUGGUAGACUUGUAUCUUUCAAAAGUCAACUUGAUUUUUUUUAAACUUUUGAAGUAUGUUUUACAUGUUGGUGACAUGCCACUUGUUUUAAAUUAAUGUAAAUGUUGGUAUGUAAACAGCUUGUAAUAUUGCUGGCUUUUGACUGCUUAAUCUAAUAGAUUCUUCUUUAUAUUUUUUCCUUUUUUUUAAAUUGCAGUGUGCCCAAAAGUUUAUUUUCUAAAUAAAUACUUAAAUUCCAGUGUGUACAGAAAGAGAGAGAAAAAAAAAG
Aptenodytes forsteri (emperor penguin) is the source of this 1154-nucleotide RNA transcript. It is a transcript of the gene named cathepsin L1 pseudogene, with no coding region annotated. The transcript has a single exon. The record is from RefSeq and is a predicted model, not a curated record. Lineage: Eukaryota; Metazoa; Chordata; Aves; Sphenisciformes; Spheniscidae.